Zea mays is the source of this 3570-nucleotide RNA transcript. It is a transcript of the gene named Vesicle-associated protein 2-2, with no coding region annotated. The record is from RefSeq and is marked provisional. The transcript is spliced from 9 exons. Lineage: Eukaryota; Viridiplantae; Streptophyta; Magnoliopsida; Poales; Poaceae.
GGGCAAGGCCCCCUAUAUCGACGAUUUACGAAAGAGGGACACUUUCGUCGUGAACCAGGAGGUGUUGUUCGUACUGGUAGGGACCAAUCUGCAAAAAAAAGGUCUGCCGGCUGGACCCCGCAACCGCGGAAAGGCGACCCCACACGCGCCCCGCCUCGGAGACUUCGCCGCCCGCUCCGCGUCCCCCGACCCCGAGGCUGCCUCCGCUACCGCUACUCUGCUGGCUGCUGCACCUGCACCACCCCAAAAUCAGCGGUGGGGCCGAGAGCGACCGCCUUCCCUCUUUAUCCUCCCCGUCUCCCGCCGUCGUCUUCACUGAUUCACUCCGACGCCUCCCCUGCCGCUGCCGCAACUGGGAGGCGGUCCCUGUCGCGCGCGACGACGAGCCUUCAUGACGGGGACACGCUGCUGAUUCAUAGCGCACCACCCGCCGGUUCGCCCUCGGGCUCUCUCGCGCCCCUCCAACGGAUUACUGGUGCCCAACGCUUGUGCUUGCUGUGUAGCCUGGCGCGUCUGCUCGCGGCCGAUACCUCCGCGGCCGGCGGCGAUGGGCCAGGACCUCGUCGAGAUCCAUCCGAGCGAGCUCCAGUUCACCUUUGAGGUGAAGAAACAAAGUUCAUGUGUCGUCCACCUAAUCAACAAGUCCAACGACUAUGUUGCUUUCAAGGUUAAAACAACAUCUCCUAAAAGAUACUGUGUUCGACCAAAUACUGGGGUUAUCCUUCCAAGGAAAACAUGUGAAUUCACAGUUACCAUGCAAGCGCUCCGAACUGCUCCGCCAGACAUGCAACUAAAGGACAAGUUUUUGGUACAGACCACAAUUGUUCCUUAUGGUACAUCUGACGAGGAACUCGUUCCUGCCUUUUUCUCCAAAGAAACUGGCAGAUACAUUGAGGAAAGCAAAUUGAGAGUUGUUCUUGUUAGUGCAUACCAAUCCCUUGAAGAGCAACCGACUAAUAAAAUUCAUGACACUGAGCCAGUUGUUGAAGUUCCUGUACUGAAAGAGGUGCCAAAUAUAGAGAACGAAGUGCCAGAUGCUGCAAAAGAAGUUCCUGCCCCUCUGGUACAAGCUCCAGCGAUUGUGACUGGAAUACCUUCACCUGUCGAAGAGACUCCUGGCCUGAGAGAAUUCCGUGUGCCGCUGAAUGAAGCACCAGCUGUAUUGGCAGAAUCUCCUUCCGCUCAAAAAGACCCUUCUGUUAUUACAGUUGAACAUGCCUCUACUGUUAUAAUUGAACAUUCCCCUGCUAUUUCCAUUGAAUCCCCUCCUUUGAAACAAAGUGUCACAGUUUUUAAGGAAUCUCCUCCUUCGAAACAAAGCAUUGCAGCUUUCAAGGAAUAUCCUCCUCCUUCGAAACAAAGCAUUGCAGUUUUUAAGGAAUCUCCUCCACUGGAGGAAACUAGUCCUAAAGAAGCUGUUGUGCUAAGUGACCGAGGACUCUUCAGUGUGCAGAACCAUCAAUUAUCUCAUGUAACAGAAGAUGUUCAGAAUCUGAAAUCAAAGCUCAACAAUCUCGAAUCAAAAUUGGAAGAGGCUGGAAAGAUGAUAAUAAGGCUAAAAGAAGAGAGCAGAAGUACCACCCAGGAGCGGGAUAAGCUACAGCAAGAAAUGGUAUUCCUAAGAAAGAAGGGAACCCCAAGGAGCCAAGUGGGUUUCCCCUUGCUGUUUGUUGUCUACGUCGCGCUUCUUGGUACCUUACUCGGUUACCUGCUCCGUCUAUGAAUUCAGAACUCUAAGAAAACAAAAAAGUUCAGCAGCUGGGAUGCCUCAUAUGCGGCAAGAGAACUGAAUUGAACGGCAGUUGCACUCUAAAAUGUUGGAGAGAGGCACGAAACAGUGUAUCGAAAAUCCAACAGGACCGUUCAAGGUACCAAGAUGAAACAAGAGAUCACUGCUCAUGCAACGAGAAGUACAAAGGAUGGGCACGCACAGCGACCUUCAAACAGAAAUCCAUUCGACCUGGUGGGCUCUGCAGAGAGGCAACAUUAUUUCACGUGGUCCUGCAGCAAGCAGCAGAACGUAGAAUACUUCCCUUCUUUCUUGGAUCAGCAACGGACCGGCCAGCCAAGUUCAAUCAACUACGGCUAACUACGGCUGUCAGUCGUGCAUUUAUAUAGUGAAUUUUGAAAUAAGACAUACAGCCUUCACACAUCAUGCAAGCAUGAGUUUUCCCGAGGGGCCUUGGUCCAUUCAUGCAUGCACGUGGCAUUUAAGACCAUAAUCUCCUGAUACAGGUGUCUGUUAACUAAAAAGUACAAAUGAUGCCUGUACAGAAUUCAAGUUGACGUUGAUGGCCUCACGGCCCACAAUAUAGAUCAAAAUUGAGGAAUAAAAGCCUUGCAGGUCAAUAUAACCAAAUCAACACUUGACAAGGAUAGUGCAGGUCUCGGGAGGAGAUGAAUUUGACCAGGAUGUACUGAAAGGGGGGGGGGGGGGGGGGGGGGGGGGGAGAGCAAGAAAAUGAUGCCAGUCAAAUCAUUCCUACCGAUGUGGCUGUAACAAACUUCAUCCUAGUUGCGUUGCUGGUAUUGGUACUAGCUGGUGUGCAAAUUGAUUUGGUUGAGUGAGUUGUCUCGUCUCCAACCAAAAGGACAAAGAAGAAAAAAUGAACCGCAAGCAACAUGGAAGGGAAAGCGGAUAGCGACGCUUGAACAACUAGCCCCACGCAGCCACGAAACAAAAAGGCCGAAAGCGAAGAAGAUCUACAUCAGACAGACACAGACAGAUACCGUAGAACAGAAAGAAAGGCCUCCCGUCCAGAGUCGUGUCAGCGUAAAGAAAUUCCACAGCCAACAAGAAGCCUUCUCGCCUCCUUGACUCCUUCCUCCAUCCUAUCGAGAACCAUGGGCAAGCUGUGCUGCAGCCAGGAAGAUGACGAGCCGGCGUUCAACCUUCUGGGGCUGCUCGUCACCGUCGUCCUCGCCUUGCUGCUGCUCAUGCUGUGCACACCUCCCCGGCGCAGGCGCUGCGUCGCAUACUACCCUCCUUGCUGCUAGGAACAUUCGAUUUCAAGGUAGGGACUAGCUAGGGAGGGCGUGGUCUUCUGGUGGGUGGGGGCGGGGAGGUGAAUAGGAAGGAGAUGGGCACCGAGCUAGGCUUCGAAUGCGGAGCUUAGCUAAAGUCCCAAGUUACUAUGAAAUAAAUUGCGCUGAGUUUGUAAAGCGUUCUGUUAGGCCCCGUUUGGUUCAUUUAGUCACUAGACUAAAUUUUAGUGACUAAAGUUUAGUCGCUAAAGUACCUUGUUUGGUUCCAGUGACUAAAUCGGACUAAAGAGCAUUAAUUGCUGUGAAUAAUGACUGUUUUACCCCUAUUAAUUAAUAGAUGUUUGCUAUAAGAAGAAAGUUGAGAGUGCAAAUAAGGUAAAAAUACUACUUUAGUCCCUUUUAGUCACCCCUUGGUGACUAAAGAACUAAAAUUUAGUCACCCCAUUUUAGUCAUCAUGUUUGCUUCUUUAGGGACUAAAAGUGACUAAAAUUUAGUCACUAAACUUUAGUCACCUCUAACCAAACGGGGCCUUAGUACUGUCAAAUGUGCCUGAUCUGCAAUGCAACCUGCCUGUUCCGAAUGUU